This 1244-nucleotide ribosomal RNA is filed under the name metagenome. RNAcentral's name for it is "bacterial LSU rRNA". It matches the Rfam family "Bacterial large subunit ribosomal RNA", at positions 1564 to 2817 of the family's 2925-position model. The record is from RNAcentral.
UGAAUACGAGACGCUAAGGCGUCGAAGUAGGGUAUGUCAUACUUCCAAGAAAAGCUUGCACUGUCAUAGAUAAAAAACGCCUGUACCAUAACCGACACAGGUGGGUAGGUAGAGUAUACUAAGGGGCGCGAGAUAACUCUCUCUAAGGAACUCGGCAAAAUAACUCCGUAACUUCGGGAGAAGGAGUGCCUUAUUCGUAAGGUUGCAAUAACAAGAUCCAAGCAACUGUUUAUCAAAAACACAGGUCUCCGCUAAGUCGUAAGACGAUGUAUGGGGGCUGACGCCUGCCCAGUGCCAGAAGGUUAAAGAAGUUGGUUAGCAAUUGCGAAGCUGAUAACUGAAGCCCUGAUGAACGGCGGCCGUAACAAUAACGGUCCUAAGGUAGCGAAAUUCCUUGUCGGGUAAGUUCCGACCCGCACGAAAGGCGUAAUGAUUUGGAUACUGUCUCGGAGAGGGGCUCGGUGAAAUAGACUUGUCUGUGGAGAUGCGGACUACCUGCACCAGGACAGAGAGACCCUAUGAAGCUUUACUGUAACUUGAAAUUGAAAUUGGACUUUAUUCGCGCAGUAUAGGUGGGAGGCGUUGAUUAUAAUCUUGUGGGAUUAUUGGAGCCAUCAGUGAGAUACCACUCUUGUAAUGUUAGAUUUCUAACUUUGAAUCAUUAUCUGGUCAAAGAACAGUUUCAGGCGGGCAGUUUGACUGGGGCGGUCGCCUCCUAAACGGUAACGGAGGCGUACAAAGGUUUCCUCUGAACGGUUAGAAAUCGUAUCUAGAGUGUAAAGGCAUAAGGAAGCUUGACUGUGAGACCUACAAGUCGAGCAGGGACGAAAGUCGGUCUUAGUGAUCUGACGGUACUGAGUGGAAAGGCCGUCACUCAACGGAUAAAAGUUACUCUAAGGAUAACAGGCUGAUCUCCCCCAAGGGUUCACAUCGACGGGGAGGUUUGGCACCUCGAUGUCGGCUCAUCGCAUCCUGGGGCGGUAGUACGUCCCAAGGGUUGGGCUGUUCGCCCAUGAAAGCGGUACGCGAGCUGGGUUCAGAACGUCGUGAGACAGUUCGGUCCAUAUCCGGUGUAGGCGUUAGAAUAUUGAGAGGAGCCUUCUUUAGUACGAGAGGACCGAGAAGGACAUACCUCUGGUGUACCAGUUAUCGUGCCAACGGUAAACGCUGGGUAGCUGUGUAUGGAGUGAAUAACCGCUGAAAGCAUCUAAGUGGGAAGCCCACCUCAAGAUAAGUAUUCUCAU